This 429-nucleotide ribosomal RNA is filed under the name uncultured bacterium. Its description in RNAcentral is "bacterial SSU rRNA". It matches the Rfam family "Bacterial small subunit ribosomal RNA", at positions 355 to 775 of the family's 1533-position model. The record is from RNAcentral.
UGAGGAAUCUUGCGCAAUGGGGGAAACCCUGACGCAGCAACGCCGCGAGCGUGAGGAAGGCCUUCGGGUCGUAAAGCUCUGUCAGAUGGGAAGAAAUGGGUGGGGGCUAAUAUCGCCCAUCCUUGACGGUACCAUCAGAGGAAGCACCGGCUAACUCCGUGCCAGCAGCCGCGGUAAUACGGGGGGUGCGAGCGUUGUUCGGAAUCAUUGGGCGUAAAGCGCGCGAGGGCGGCUUGGUGAGUCAGAUGUGAAAGCCCUGGGCUUAAACAAGGAAGAGAAUUUGAUAAUGUCACGCUAGAGUAAGGGAAAGGAAAAUGGAAUUCAUGGUGUAGAGGUGAAAUUCGUAGAUAUCAGGAGGAACUACGGUGGCUAAGGCGACUUUCUGGCCCGAUACUGACGCUAAGGCGAGAAAGCGUGGGGAGCAAACAG